RNAcentral lists this unclassified non-coding RNA (2284 nucleotides) under Megachile rotundata (alfalfa leafcutting bee). RNAcentral describes it as "tBC1 domain family member 13, transcript variant X1". Lineage: Eukaryota; Metazoa; Arthropoda; Insecta; Hymenoptera; Megachilidae. The record is from RNAcentral.
CUCGAUUGUGUCCUCAGUUAUAUGACACGCUGUAUAUAGAACUUAACGAGUUCCGUCUAAUAAUUUUCUAUUCAUAAAAUAUAGAAUUAAUGUCAAACGCAUGUGGUUCCCUAUUGUUUCAAUACAAUGUAAGCUGAUGGGAGCGAAAUUAGAUCAAUAGGAGAGAGAAUCUUGUUCUUUCCCAAGCCAUUUGUUCGUCAAAGAGGUUAGGAUAGAAUUAAAUUAACUCGUGCAGAAACUAUAGCUCGCGUGCUUCGCAGUCACGAGUAUAAAGUGCCAUAUUGCAAUGAUAAGAAAGAUCUCUCCACACCCUGAGAUAAGACGUUUGAAUCAUUGUUUCGUAUAAAAAGAUAAUCAAUGUGCGAGAGAGUAAUGAUGGCGGUUAGUUCGUCUGUCAAUCUAACAGGCCGCUGACAAUAAUGUGAGAAACGGGCAUCGCUGUACGCCCACACGUCUAUCGAAUGCCGAUAAGAACAUUGUGAAUUUUUCGUUAAGCACUGCAUGUGCCCAGCACGCUUACAAUGAGUAUUUUACGAAAAAGAUUAAACGAUUUCGACGAUGUUUUGAACGCCGAAGAGAUAGAUCUCGUUAGUCUCAAACGAUUGUGCUUCCAUGGGAUACCAGAUGAAGGAAGUUUAAGACCAUUAUGUUGGAAACUUUUGUUAAAUUACUUACCUCCAACAAGGGCUAGUUGGUCAGAAACUUUAACGCGCAAAAGAAUACUUUAUAAAACUUUCAUUGAGGAUCUGAUUGUCACUCCGGGUGAAGCUAAUGCAGAUGGAGAGAGGGUGGAUGUUACCCUCCAUGAUCACCCUUUAAAUUUAAAUCCUGAUAGCAAGUGGCAAACAUAUUUUAAGGACAAUGAAGUUCUUCUGCAGAUAGACAAAGAUGUUAGGAGACUAUGUCCAGAUAUAUCAUUCUUCCAACAAGGUACUGACUACCCUUGUAAAGAAAUUGUAAAUGCCUGUGGACAGAAACGUUUGCAUCACAGAGUGCAGCAUACAGUGUUAAGAAGCGCAAAUGUAGAAAGAAAAGGACUUGGUGUAACUAAGAUAGCAGUUUCUAUUAGGAAAGCUGCAGAAGAUUAUGCGCCGCUUGCAGAAGGCGGUGAAGCGCAUUGGGAGGUUUUAGAAAGAAUACUUUUUCUUUAUGCUAAAUUAAAUCCGGGGCAGGGUUACGUACAAGGAAUGAAUGAAAUCGUUGGUCCUAUUUAUCAUGCUUUUGCUUGUGAUCCAGAUCAGAAAUGGAGAGAACAUGCAGAAGCAGAUACUUUUUUCUGUUUCACGAAUCUGAUGAGUGAAAUACGCGACUUUUUCAUUAAAUCCUUGGAUGAAGCUGAAUUUGGAAUAAAUUCAAUGAUGAGUAAGCUCACAACUCAAGUCAAAGCUAAUGAUCCCGAAGUUUGGUUGCGACUACAUCAGCAAGAACUGUGUCCCCAAUAUUACAGCUUCAGAUGGCUGACGCUUCUACUUUCGCAAGAAUUCCCUUUGCCGGAUGUCAUGAGGAUUUGGGAUUCUCUGUUCGCGGAUGAAAACAGAUUCAGUUUCUUGAUACACAUUUGUUGUGCCAUGAUUUUGCUAUUGCGGGACCAACUACUCGCCGGUGAUUUUGCUACAAACGUCAAACUUUUACAAAAUUUUCCUUCAAUGGAUAUUCAAAUAGUGCUCUCUAAGGCAGCUGCAUUAGCAGGAAAGAGUUUAAAUUCGCCAUAAUAAGAUGACUGUAUACAUAAAGUUCCAUGUAACUCUAAAAAUAUGAACAAAACACUUGAGGUGGAAUAUUGGAAACCGUUCAAAGUUGUAUAUAAAUAAAAAAAGGAAAAAGGUAAAUGUAAUUAGGCAGCAUUAAAAGUAAUGAAGAUGUUGUUGAUAGUAGAGAAAUUUUUUGUUAUGAAUUAAAGAAGGAAUAAUUAUUCUGUGAAUGGAAUAUUUAGCCAUAUCGAAGGAUGUAAAUCUUGUUAUAUUCAAAAAUCAAAUAUUUGAAUAUUUGAAGGAAGCAUUUGUUGCUAAUUGUAACGUAAGAUUUAUGUAAUGGUUUCGUAACGAACAAGGUGUGAAACGUAGUCUAAUAGUUACUAAAAAUUAAGAACAAAAAGACGGGGGGUUUAUCUGCAAUACUGGCAGAUUCAAUACACAUUUUGUAACGAUUAAACAGAUUUAUUAUCGUUUAUACGCGCAAUAAUUAUGCAAUACAUUUAAGUGAAAUAUUAUAUUUUGUAAUCUUAUUUUUGUAAUGAACUGCGUUGUUCGUCCUACGUUUGUAAAAUAAAAAAGUGUUAUAUUUG